CAUCUUGAUAAUUUUGAAACUUGAAAUCAGUUUUGAUUAUGAAAUUUUGAUGUUUGGAUGUAUUUUGAAAUUUUAUAAUAUAUUAUUUUCAUCAUAAUGAUUUUUAGAGUAAAAACCUUAAUUUAUAUGAAAUUAAUUUAAUUUGAUGGAUUUUUAAAGGAAAAUUUUCGAAAUCAGGGAUCGUGUACCGGUACAGGAUCGUGUACCGGUACGGGUACUGUAGCCGCGGAUAUAUAUCCGGUUACAGAGUUAUUGUUCUCUCUCAAAUCUGAACCAAACUUCAUUUUCUCUCUCUCUAAAAAUCCCUGGUGCCUUCCUCUUGCUGAUCUACACGUUUUCCCUCAGAUAUUUGUGAGUAUUUAGCUUGGAUUUAAUCGUUUCAUCGCGUUCAUGUUUAUUUUUCGAAAAUAUUUCGAGUUGAAGCUAGAUCUCUGUUUUUUAUCGUU
This 446-nucleotide long non-coding RNA is filed under the name Ananas comosus (pineapple). Its description in RNAcentral is "long non-coding RNA (ACOM_LNC003644)". Lineage: Eukaryota; Viridiplantae; Streptophyta; Magnoliopsida; Poales; Bromeliaceae. The record is from RNAcentral.